CCGGGCACCAAGUGUGGUGUUACUACUUCAUGAAAAGCUUUGGAGACAGUGCUCCUUUGGCUCCACCUCCGCUACCAGAAACAUGUUACUCAAUGCUUCCUUCUGAUGCACUCAGCACAAAGCAGUGCAAAACACGCCUACGGACACACUGAUAGCAAUUUUAAAUUCUUCAGCUUCUUUGCAGCCCCUUCUCUGCACGUGUCUGAAAGCAGGAAGAUUCACUCCUUUGCCUUUUUUUUUUUUUAACUGCGCUUUUUUUCCCUACCUACAGAUUCCUGCAAUAUCUCCAUUCAUCAAAGCUGAUGGGAGCUUUAGGGAAUUACUGCUGCCACUAUGGAACACGCAGGCUCCUUCACUGCUCCUCCUGCAGAUCCACCUUUCUUCUCCUGGGAAGAACAUCCUAAGGGUUGGAUUCAGUGGUCUUAGAGAUCUUUUCCAAACUUAAUAAUUCAAUGAUCUACAGAACUGUGCAGUAGUUGUAAUGUACAAUGAGACAUUGACCCUUGCUAUUUUAACCAUAGUGUCUGCCAGAAGUCUCAGGUCUUGAUAUCACCUGAUUGCCUGAAAUCCUGUUUUGAUUUAAAACUAAAUUUCUUCUAGCUAAUCUCACUGCAGAUCAAUGAAAAAGACUUGAAACAUUUUAGAAUGUUUCAAGACCUGGAGUAAUAAUAACAAUAAUGGCUUUUCCCCCCUCUUUUAAGUAAAUCUCAGGUGACUUGGACAUGACUUCUGCACACCUGCGGCUGCCAGCAAAUCAGAACUAUCUGCACAUUUUCUCCUUAUCACAGCAAGAAUUCCUGCAGGCCCAGGAGGCCAGAGAACUCAGCAUCCUAACAAUUACAGCGAUUACAACUUUCUUGUGAAAUAGAGAACUCAGCAGAGGUACAAAGAGAUGUAAAUAGCAUCCAAUGAAUCAUGUGAGAAAGGUAAAGCCAAGCUGCAAAACAUCCUCUCCCUUCUUGGCUCCCAGCCUGGGGGCUCAAUCUUACCAUAAAAGUUCUUCACAGAUUAUCUAGCAGCAGAGCAUAUAAAUCUCCUUUUAUUUCAAAGCAGUAGGUAAUCAAUACCCUAAAUAAGGCAAAAACACAACUCUCUUUGGAAGAUUGUUUUCUUGAUAGAAGACAGGGAAUAAAUAUUCCUAAUAGGUACCUACUUACUUUUAAAUAAUAAUGGCAUCAGCUCAGUAAUCUGUGAUGCCUCAAUUAGAGCCCCAUUGUGCUAUGAGAUGUGCAAACAGGUCAAACUGGUUCAAGUUAUUCUUGUGAUAAUUUCUUAAAAUGAACAGAACAUGGGAAACAUCAAAAUGCUGAAUGUAAAACCUCAUGUAGUUCUCUCAGACAUCUUGUCUUGAGAAAUCCCCAGAAAAGAAAUGAAGCAAGCUACUGGGAUAGGCAAUCCUUAGCAUAAACAAACAAACAAAAACAAACAAACCACUGAAAACUGAUUUUACAUUCAUUCUUGUUUUGUGGAUUGUAGGGAUGAAAGGUAGAAAAGAAGUGUGCCUGGUGAAGUAACUCCCUCUUUUGAUAAUGCACACACAUGCACAUACAUUUGCCCUCUUCCUAUAUACAGUAAAGAAAUCCAUUCUGCUUUGAUUUUCACAAGUAAUAAAUGAGUCACAUCUAGAAAUAAGUUAACGUGAUUAGUACUGAAGAGCAAUCCGCUACUUUUAAUUUGCCCACUGGCAGUUUCACACACAGAUAUUUUCAGUGUCUUUUAAAUCUGAUUUUUCCAAAAUGAAACCACCUCUUAUCCCACAGUAACAUCCACUGAGAGACUGUAUUUCCCUGGUCAUUUUAAAAAUGGGUUAAAAACAUGAUGAUGGAAUGAAUUUCCAAACUUCCCUUGAUUUUGUUGGUAAUUACACAGGUAGUCUGACCACCUUUAUUCUCUCCAAAUGGUGUUUUCCAUCCCCACUACGUACAGUAAGAGACGUAGAGUCUUCAAUGCUGUUCAGCUAUGUACAACCUUUCACAGUGGAUCCAAAGAUCCUGGAGAUGUAAAAUGCAGCAGAUCAAGGUUUGUUUACUGUUAUUAUGAGAACUGAUAGAAAUUUUUCCUUUUGAAAACAAUUAUGCAGAAAACUGGGUUUCUGCUAAAGGAACACUUUCUACUAAACUUCUGUUUUCUACUGAAAAACGUCUGUACACUAAAUCUUGUACAGCAGAGGUGUUAAUGCUGCUGCAGUGAACCUGGGGAACUACUUCCAUGUAUUGCUCAUGGUCUCACCUUGGGGUCAUAUCCUGCAUGCCUCACAACCCCACAUCAGGUCCCUGUCUGGGAUGGGCUGUGUCCCUUUAACCACACGAGAACCUUUGACUUGCCCAGCCUAAAGGGAAGAGUGCAAGCCAUAAGUAUCUGUAACUAUAAAAGUCAUAAAGUGCCCUGGCACUAUUUCAGAAGCAAUAUAUUUAGAUGUUAGAGAAUGCACUUCAUCGAAACCUCACAAACUUUAUGGGAGGAAAAAAAAAAAUCCUUCCAUUUUCAGAUCCAAUUACCAUAAUGAGAAGGUGAUGUGAUAACAGUACCAGUGUCAAGUAAGAAGCAGAUAGGAGGACCUGCUCUCUGCCUGGGGGAGUUUGUGAUCUAAGUAUUUCAUCACUGCCUGCCAAAGUAAUAUGCAAAGGGAACAUUCAUGCCUUACAGUGGCUCUGCAGUCAGAAGGUCCUCUGGGUUACAGCGAGCAGACCUACAGCUCCUCCUCCUCUUCCUGUCCUCCUGGCUGUGACCUGCCAGGAAAACCAUGUCCUGAGAGGUCUUCCACCCAAAGACUUAACCAUCACAGGCACCCGUGACAGAUGUGAACCACAUGGCUGGACAGUGGAGAGCUGCUGGGACUCUGGAGAGUGAGCACCACAGGCCGGUAGGCAAGAGGUACAGGAAGAAACUUCUGCAUUCCAGUGUGAAGAUGUGCCAUGAGCACAUUCAGCAGCCCUGACCUCAAACUGGAAAGAAAGAGAGAAACUUGCAGCAGCUUUGUUCAAAAAGAGGCUCUUAAAUACAGAAUUUAGGAGACACUCAGGUCUGUCCUAGCAAUUGAAGGGUUCAACUUUUUGUCAUCAGAUCUGAAGA
Cyanistes caeruleus (blue tit) is the source of this 3072-nucleotide non-coding RNA. The record is from RefSeq and is a predicted model, not a curated record. NCBI's taxonomy places the organism in Eukaryota, Metazoa, Chordata, Aves, Passeriformes, Paridae.